UACGGAGGGUGCAAGCGUUAUCCGGAUUCACUGGGGUUAAAGGGUGCGUAGGUGGGUCUGUAAGUCAGUGGUGAAAUCUCCGUGCUUAACAUGGAAACUGCCAUUGAUACUAUAGGUCUUGAAUUUUCUGGAGGUCAGCGGAAUAUGUCAUGUAGCGGUGAAAUGCUUAGAUAUGACAUAGAACACCAAUUGCGAAGGCAGCUGGCUACAGGGAUAUUGACACUGAGGCACGAAAGCGUGGGGAUCAAACAGG
RNAcentral lists this ribosomal RNA (253 nucleotides) under uncultured bacterium. RNAcentral describes it as "partial 16S ribosomal RNA". It matches the Rfam family "Bacterial small subunit ribosomal RNA", at positions 524 to 776 of the family's 1533-position model. The record is from RNAcentral.